GCUGCUGUAGCUCACUGGCAGAGCACUCCCUUGGUAAGGGAGAGGUCGAGAGUUCGAUUCUCUCCAGCAGCA
Molecule: transfer RNA, 72 nt
Filed under: Octadecabacter arcticus 238
Lineage: Bacteria; Pseudomonadati; Pseudomonadota; Alphaproteobacteria; Rhodobacterales; Roseobacteraceae
Description: Octadecabacter antarcticus 238 tRNA
Rfam family: tRNA
About the family: Transfer RNA (tRNA) molecules are approximately 80 nucleotides in length. Their secondary structure includes four short double-helical elements and three loops (D, anti-codon, and T loops).
Source: Rfam by way of RNAcentral